UACUAGCGGUCCAAGUCGCAGCCAUUUUUAUUGGGUCUAAAACAUCCGUAGCUUGCUCGGCAAGUUUCCUGUAAAAUCUUAUGUCUUAAACAUGGGGCUGGCAGGAAGUACUACCAAGCUAGAGACUGGAAGACGUGAGAAGUACGUUCAGAGUAGCGGUAAAAUGUGUUAAUCCUGGACGGACUCACAAUAGCGAAGGCAUCUCACGAGGACAGUUCUGACAGUAAGGGAUGAAGGCUAGGGGCGCAAAACGGAUUAGAUACCCCCGUA
This 270-nucleotide ribosomal RNA is filed under the name uncultured prokaryote. RNAcentral describes it as "partial 16S ribosomal RNA". It matches the Rfam family "Archaeal small subunit ribosomal RNA", at positions 474 to 743 of the family's 1478-position model. The record is from RNAcentral.